UAGAAUAACUUUUCAUAUAGUCCUCCAAACAACAUAUGGAAUGUUAUCAUUCUAUCACCAUCCUAUACUAGCCUAUGAAAACAAUCUAGAUUACAAUUUUUAACAAGCCUGACCAUGUCUAUAGCCAAAAGAAGAGCACAUUUAAAAUACAGUAAUCCAACCCAGAUCUCCUACCAUAGCAUCUCAGGGAUUCUAAAUAAAAAACAAACAUGAACGAUAACCAUUUCAAAUUCCAAAUCAACUAAUAUACUAUGAAUCACAUAAGAGACAUGAAAGAGAGGAAAUGUUGUAGAAUCACAAGCAGAUCUAUUUCUACACUUUAAAUCUUGUUUUCCAUUUCAUUUCUUCCAAUACAGUUCUACAUUAAAUAAGGUUCAAGCCAUGUACCUGGCAUUGAACAACAAACCAAAAGAAGGUGAGAUAUCAGCAGGCAGCAGCAGUAUAGCAAAAAUCAACACCAACGAAACCAAUUCAAACCGGAAAAUAGGGUACAAUAACCCAGAAACCAAUAUCAGUCCAAACAGUGAACCAGAAAACCUCAAACCAAACUCGAUCUUAAUUCAUUUCAACCCCCAUUAAGCAUAAAUUGUUCCAGCAAUUGAAUAUCGAACGACUUGAAGCAGAAAAAAUCAAUAGAACAGUUUUUGUUAUCUAAAUUUUUAGCCGUUUCUAAUUUUUCUAGAAGUUUAUCUCUUGAAAAUCCUUGAAAAACAAGAUAGAUAUGCCUUUAUAGGCAAGGUACCUAGGGAAGCACCAGAGUUAGUUUUUCCUCUUAGGCCUUCUUCAAAUUCUGAUUUUAGCUUAAACGCCCUUAUUCAAUUUUGAUUUGGUUCAAAUAUCCUCAAUUCACAUAUCAAAAUUACAGAAUAAACCCAUUUCCCCAACUUCUUAAAAGCUUUUAUUUUAGCUGCAAUGAGAUUCUCUUACCCAAAUUUCCUAAUCUACCCCCACAAACCCCUAUUUUUUACCCUUGGGCUAAGCAAGCAUAUGGGUCAUGUUGACCCAUGGUUCAGCCCCAAAUCUAGGCUUGCAACCUAGUCUGAGUUCCAUUUUCUUUGGGCUUUCAAUUUAAUAGAAACCCAACCCAAUUCAGUAAUUCACAAUAAACCCACCCUAAAUUCCAGGCCAAUAGGCGUUGCAAACCAAACCAAUUUCGAGCUGAAAUCAGAACAAAAAGAACUACCUAAACUAAACCUGAGAAUUGAAUCAAUGCAACUAAGAAUGCUCUUAUAUUAAUCAUGCAAACAGAAAUUGCUUCAACAAAUGAAAAAUAACAAAGAACAGAAAAGAUGAACGGAAGAAGGUGAAGAUGGAUUGAAGAACAAAAGAACGGAGAAAAGUAGAAGAACGAGGGUACCUAGCAACAUACGCGAAUGAAUAUGGCUCGAAGGACCUCAGACUUAUCAAUUUUGAAUCAAAAUUGGUCUCAAUCAUGCAUUAAUGGAUGAGCAAGGCCAGUUU
This 1461-nucleotide long non-coding RNA is filed under the name Nicotiana benthamiana. RNAcentral describes it as "long non-coding RNA (NBEN_LNC013696)". Lineage: Eukaryota; Viridiplantae; Streptophyta; Magnoliopsida; Solanales; Solanaceae. The record is from RNAcentral.